Molecule: unclassified non-coding RNA, 437 nt
Filed under: fungal sp.
Lineage: Eukaryota; Fungi
Description: partial internal transcribed spacer region
Rfam family: Eukaryotic small subunit ribosomal RNA (bases 1-46)
Source: RNAcentral
AAGUCGUAACAAGGUUUCCGUAGGUGAACCUGCGGAAGGAUCAUUAAACGUUACCCCCCGUGCACACAGCGACCUGCUCCCCUCAAUUUCGGUCUGGCAACUGGUAAAUCAUCGCCGAACAGUUUUGAUUCAGGGACUUUCAAAGGGCCGGGGUAGGGUAUUAAAGUAGUAGUCCAUGCAAAAGCGACCUGGUUUCUUUGAAGCAGAAAGUGUGAUGGCGUGAGCCGGAGAACGGACCGAGUGGUAGUUCGAAGGUGCCUUCUGUCGCGCACUGAGGAAAGGAAGACGUUUUACGAAUCACUGUCCAACACGGCCAGUGACCGGGUUCCUGGUCCUAGACCCCAUAUUCACCACCACAGUCGCAGACGAGGUAGGGAUACGUCCCUACCACCAAAUAAAGACUUGAACAACUGUUAACAAUGGAUACCUUGGUUCUC